AUAUAUAUAUAGUGUAGAAUUACUAUGCUAUUGGAAGUAUAGAGGGCUCUUCCAACUUUUCGGUCUUUGGAUCAAGGAUUGAACGGUUAGAAUGAAUGCUGUUGCUCUAGGGUUAAGUAGUCCCCACAGGAUAAUAAUAUUAAUCUACAAAUUAGAAAUGGUCAAAAAGAUUGAUUUAAUGGUCAAAAAGUUGUAAACAUCAAAUCUUCUAUGCUUCUGAUAGCAUAGUAGCCUUACUCUCUCUCUCUCUCUCUCUCUCUCUCUAUAUAUAUAUAUAUAUAUAUAUAUAUAGUUGAGCUGGAAUUCUAUCGAUAGCAAAUAGGCUUCAUUGUCAUCCAUUUGUUUUCAAUGAUAGAGCCUCCAAAUCGACAAUCGGCACUGUUGAAAAUGAUCUAUACCACUUGAAGUAUCUAUAAAUCAAAUUUCAUACUUUUCUAAUAUUGUUCUCGUCCAUCAAGUGGGCGUAAAAUGAACGGUUGAAAAUGAAUGUCCUAUAAAAAGUGAUGAUAGGAAGCUUAUAAUCAAGAUCGAGAGUGCAGAUCUUGCUCUAAAUAGUUCAAAAAAUUUUCUAAUUAGAAUUCAAUUGAUUUAGAUAGCUUAAUUUAUAUCGUUAUACAAGAAAACGACUCAUAUCUGCAAUUAAAAUUAUAAAUUUUGAAACCCUUUGAUCAUUAGAUCAAUGUUGUCGAAAAAAUUUAAAAUUUGAUUUUUAUAUACUUCAAGUAGUAUUGAUUAUGUUCAACGGUACCGAUUUUAAUCAUCGAAAAUAAAUGAUUGAUAACGAAGUCCGUUUCUUACUAAUAGCAUUCCAGCUCAUCUCUCUAUAUAUUUUAUAUUAUAUAUAUAAUGCGUCAUAGUA
This 859-nucleotide long non-coding RNA is filed under the name Ananas comosus (pineapple). RNAcentral describes it as "long non-coding RNA (ACOM_LNC004330)". Lineage: Eukaryota; Viridiplantae; Streptophyta; Magnoliopsida; Poales; Bromeliaceae. The record is from RNAcentral.